This 468-nucleotide ribosomal RNA is filed under the name uncultured bacterium. RNAcentral's name for it is "partial 16S ribosomal RNA". It matches the Rfam family "Bacterial small subunit ribosomal RNA", at positions 28 to 507 of the family's 1533-position model. The record is from RNAcentral.
GACGAACGCUGGCGGCGUGCUUAACACAUGCAAGUCGAACGGAAAGGCCCUGCUUUUGUCGGGUGCUCGAGUGGCGAACGGGUGAGUAACACGUGAGUAACCUGCCCUUUGCUUUGGGAUAACUUCAGGAAACUGGGGCUAAUACCGGAUAGGAGCUCCUGCUGCAUGGUGGGGGUUGGAAAGUUUCGGCGGUUGGGGAUGGACUCGCGGCUUAUCAGCUUGUUGGUGGGGUAGUGGCUUACCAAGGCUUUGACGGGUAGCCGGCCUGAGAGGGUGACCGGCCACAUUGGGACUGAGAUACGGCCCAGAGUCCUACGGGAGGCAGCAGUGGGGAAUAUUGCACAAUGGGCGGAAGCCUGAUGCAGCAACGCCGCGUGCGGGAUGACGGCCUUGGGGUUGUAAACCGCUUUCGCCUGUGACGAAGCGUGAGUGACGGUAAUGGGUAAAGAAGCACCGGCUAACUACGUG